This 270-nucleotide long non-coding RNA is filed under the name Carica papaya (papaya). RNAcentral's name for it is "long non-coding RNA (CPAP_LNC006204)". Lineage: Eukaryota; Viridiplantae; Streptophyta; Magnoliopsida; Brassicales; Caricaceae. The record is from RNAcentral.
CCGAAAAAUACGAACAAAGCUCAGCGGAGCCGCCGCAGCUAAAACUCCAAAACUCCUCUGAUGAGCCCCUUUCUGAUUCUCGUUUUACGUAAUUUUUUAAUUAUUGUGCUCACAUUCCUUUUCUGUACAGGGUAGUCGAAAAAAGAAUCUCAACCACGGAGGAGUAUCGGCAGAGCUGCCACACCAGGAGGUCUCCCCACUGGUAGAUUCGGUUUUCUUUUUAGAUUUUUCAGCCAACCGAGGCCCCUAAUGUAUUUUUCUAUAGGAAUA